GCAGGAGUGGAAGGAGAAAUUGUUUCAGGUGGACAAGAUUACUACAAAGUCCAACACAUUCCAAGUGUUCAAUUUUUCAACUAUGAUGAGAAUAAUCAGUAGCAGGUAACGAGAAAUUGUUUAAUAAUGUUCACUUUGUUGGCUCUACGUUCUAUUUGGAUUCAUGUGAAAGUCUUGUGGACAGUCGCAAUUUACAUACAUUGUUCUAACAUGGAUCAUCUCUGAAAUAGAUGCAGGAUAAAUGAACAAGAAGCUAACCAAAUUCUCUUAUUAAGUACUCUCCAGAAUCACAUGCGAAACAUCAAGGGUUCAAUAAGAGAUAAAGGUUGCUUCAUAAGAGUCAUCUACUCGUCUGCUGAUCAACAGGUUUUCGCGUAGUUACUCUGGAACUGAUUAUGAAGAAUACAAAUUCUGAAGUAUCAAUAAGUUGCCAAGUCUUGGAUUAGUCUCACAGCUCUCACUCGUUAUGUUGUGGCUCAGAAUAUCAAGAACUAUUUCAUAUAAAUAAUGCUUGAGAACUCUUUCAUGGAGAAACGAACCUUGGAUGUUUCGGCAAAACAAUAUAUUUUCUCAGGGGAAAAGGAAAACACAAACAAGUCGAGAUAGAUUCCUAGUCGAAACUUU
RNAcentral lists this long non-coding RNA (624 nucleotides) under Capsella grandiflora. RNAcentral's name for it is "long non-coding RNA (CGRA_LNC001064)". The record is from RNAcentral. Lineage: Eukaryota; Viridiplantae; Streptophyta; Magnoliopsida; Brassicales; Brassicaceae.